This 351-nucleotide ribosomal RNA is filed under the name uncultured bacterium. RNAcentral's name for it is "bacterial SSU rRNA". It matches the Rfam family "Bacterial small subunit ribosomal RNA", at positions 917 to 1267 of the family's 1533-position model. The record is from RNAcentral.
GGACCCGCACAAGCAGUGGAGCAUGUGGUUUAAUUCGACGCAACGCGAAGAACCUUACCAGCGUUUGACAUGGAAAGUACCGGUUACAGAAUGGUAACCUUCAGUUCGGCUGGCUUUCACACAGGUGCUGCAUGGCUGUCGUCAGCUCGUGUCGUGAGAUGUUGGUUAAGUCCCGCAACGAGCGCAACCCUUAUCGUUAGUUACUAACAGUUCGGCUGAGGACUCUAGCGAAACUGCCGGUGAUAAGCCGGAGGAAGGUGGGGAUGACGUCAAGUCCUCAUGGCCCUACACGCUGGGCUACACACGUGCUACAAUGGUAACUACAACGGGACGCAAUACCGCGAGGUGGAG